UACGUAGGAGGCAAACGUUGUCCGGAUUUACUGGGUGUAAAGGGUGCUCAGGCGGUCUUGUAAGUUAGAAGUGAAAUCUCAGAGCUUAACUCUGAAACUGCUUUUAAUACUGCAGGGCUUGAGUGCAGAAGAGGCGGAUGGAAUUUCUGGUGUAGCAGUGAAAUGCGUAGAUAUCAGAAAGAACACCAGUGGCGAAGGCGGUCCGCUGGUCUGUCACUGACGCUAAAGCACGAAAGCGUGGGGAGCAAACAGGAUUAGAUACCCUGGUAGUCCACGCCUUAAACGAUGAAUACUAGACGUUGGGAUAAAACUCAGUGUCGCAGCUAACGCAUUAAGUAUUCCACCUGGGGAGUACGAUCGCAAGGUUGAA
RNAcentral lists this ribosomal RNA (370 nucleotides) under uncultured bacterium. RNAcentral describes it as "bacterial SSU rRNA". It matches the Rfam family "Bacterial small subunit ribosomal RNA", at positions 524 to 898 of the family's 1533-position model. The record is from RNAcentral.